RNAcentral lists this ribosomal RNA (403 nucleotides) under uncultured bacterium. RNAcentral's name for it is "partial 16S ribosomal RNA". It matches the Rfam family "Bacterial small subunit ribosomal RNA", at positions 28 to 526 of the family's 1533-position model. The record is from RNAcentral.
GACGAACGCUGGCGGCGUGCCUAAUACAUGCAAGUCGAACGCAGUGGGGACGGGUGAGUAACACGUUGGUAACCUCCCAUCAGAGGGGAUAACACUUGGAAACAGGUGCUGAACCGAUACUGAUGGAUGGACCCGCGUUCCAUUAGCUGGUUGGUGAGGUAACGGCUCACCAAGGCCACGAUGCAUAGCCAUCAUGCUGGGGGGCUCGGCCACACUGGGACGGAGACUGGGCCCAGACUGCUUCGGGAGGCAGCAGUAGGGAAUCGUCGGAAAUGGACGAAAGUCUGACCGAGCAACGCCGCGUGAGUGAAGAAGGUUUUCGAAUCGUAAAACUCUGUUGUUAGAGAAGCGGUAUCUAACCAGAAAGCCACGGCUAACUACGGGCCAGCAGCCGCGGUAAUUC